GGAAUGUUGGGGCAUCCUGCACGAGGCAGACCCUGUCCAAGCUGCCCACUGGGAUAACUGACAGCAACACCGGCAACUUGUCAAAGUAAACGGGAAGGAGGUCAGUGGUCUGCGGGAUACCGGUGCAACCAUGACACUACUUCAAAAGCACUUGGUGUCUGAGAACCAACACAUUGGAGACACUGUGGCGGUGAGAGUAAUCGGAGGCACUGUGUUUCGCCUACCCAUUGCCCGGGUACAUUUGGAUUGGGGAGUGGGCGCUAGACAUGUG
This is a non-coding RNA of Pelobates cultripes (western spadefoot toad), 271 nucleotides long. The record is from the annotation of a GenBank genome assembly. NCBI's taxonomy places the organism in Eukaryota, Metazoa, Chordata, Amphibia, Anura, Pelobatidae.